CCUACGGGAGGCAGCAGUGAGGAAUAUUGGUCAAUGGGCGCGAGCCUGAACCAGCCAAGUCGCGUGAGGGAAGACGGUCCUAUGGAUUGUAAACCUCUUUUGCCGGGGAGCAAAAGACGCCACGCGUGGCGUUCCGAGAGUACCCGAAGAAAAAGCAUCGGCUAACUCCGUGCCAGCAGCCGCGGUAAUACGGAGGAUGCGAGCGUUAUCCGGAUUUAUUGGGUUUAAAGGGUGCGCAGGCGGAAGAGCAAGUCAGCGGUAAAAUUGAGAGGCUUAACCUCUUCGAGCCGUUGAAACUGGUUUUCUUGAGUGAGUGAGAAGUAUGCGGAAUGCGUGGUGUAGCGGUGAAAUGCAUAGAUAUCACGCAGAACUCCGAUUGCGAAGGCAGCAUGCCGGCGCUCAACUGACGCUCAUGCACGAAAGCGUGGGGAUCGAACAGGAUUAGAUACCCUUGUAGUC
This 459-nucleotide ribosomal RNA is filed under the name uncultured bacterium. RNAcentral describes it as "partial 16S ribosomal RNA". It matches the Rfam family "Bacterial small subunit ribosomal RNA", at positions 338 to 795 of the family's 1533-position model. The record is from RNAcentral.